This 277-nucleotide ribosomal RNA is filed under the name uncultured bacterium. Its description in RNAcentral is "partial 16S ribosomal RNA". It matches the Rfam family "Bacterial small subunit ribosomal RNA", at positions 32 to 319 of the family's 1533-position model. The record is from RNAcentral.
AAUCAACGCUGGCGGCGCGCUUAACACAUGCAAGUCGAGCGAGAAAGCGGAGCAAUCCGUGAGUACAGCGGCGUACGGGUGAGUAACACGUGGAUGAUCUACCUCUUAGUGGGGAAUAACUUUGGGAAACCGGAGCUAAUACCGCAUAAGCCUGAGAAGGGAAAGCCGCAAGGCGCUGGGAGAGGAGUCCGCGGCCGAUUAGCUAGUUGGUGAGGUAACGGCUCACCAAGGCGGGGAUCGGUAGCCGGCCUGAGAGGGCACACGGCCACACUGGCAC